UCUCUGGUUUGAUCCUGCCAGUAGUCAUAUGCUUGUCUCAAAGAUUAAGCCAUGCAUGUCUAAGUAUAAGCAAUUAUACAGCGAAACUGCGAAUGGCUCAUUAUAUAAGUUAUCGUUUAUUUGAUAGUACCUUACUACAUGGAUAACCGUGGUAAUUCUAGAGCUAAUACAUGCUAAAAAUCCCAACUUCGGAAGGGAUGUAUUUAUUAGAUUAAAAACCAAUGCCCUCCGGGGCUCACUGGUGAUUCAUAAUAACUUCUCGAAUCGCAUGGCCUUGCGCCGGCGAUGGUUCAUUCAAAUUUCUUCCCUAUCAACUUUCGAUGUUUGGGUAUUGGCCAAACAUGGUUGCAACGGGUAACGGAGGGUUAGGGCUCGACCCCGGAGAAGGAGCCUGAGAAACGGCUACUACAUCCAAGGAAGGCAGCAGGCGCGCAAAUUACCCAAUCCCGACUCGGGGAGGUAGUGACAAUAAAUACUGAUACAGGGCUCUUUUGGGUCUUGUAAUUGGAAUGAGUACAAUUUAAAUCCCUUAACGAGGAACAAUUGGAGGGCAAGUCUGGUGCCAGCAAGCCGCGGGG
Molecule: ribosomal RNA, 578 nt
Filed under: Fusarium oxysporum
Lineage: Eukaryota; Fungi; Ascomycota; Sordariomycetes; Hypocreales; Nectriaceae
Description: SSU rRNA
Rfam family: Eukaryotic small subunit ribosomal RNA
Source: RNAcentral